GACGAACGCUGGCGGCGUGCCUAAUACAUGCAAGUCGAGCGAACCAAUAAGAAGCUUGCUUUUUGUUGGUUAGCGGCGGACGGGUGAGUAACACGUGGGUAACCUUCCUGUAAGACCGGGAUAACUCCGGGAAACCGGUGCUAAUACCGGAUAGAUUAUCUUUCCGCAUGGAGAGAUAAGGAAAGAUGGCUAUUGCCAUCACUUACAGAUGGGCCCGCGGCGCAUUAGCUAGUUGGUGAGGUAACGGCUCACCAAGGCGACGAUGCGUAGCCGACCUGAGAGGGUGAUCGGCCACACUGGGACUGAGACACGGCCCAGACUCCUACGGGAGGCAGCAGUAGGGAAUCUUCCGCAAUGGACGAAAGUCUGACGGAGCAACGCCGCGUGAGCGAAGAAGGUCUUCGGAUCGUAAAGCUCUGUUGUUAGGGAAGAACAAGUAUCGGAGGAAAUGCCGGUACCUUGACGGUACCUGACGAGAAAGCCACGGCUAACUACGUG
Molecule: ribosomal RNA, 498 nt
Filed under: uncultured bacterium
Lineage: Bacteria
Description: partial 16S ribosomal RNA
Rfam family: Bacterial small subunit ribosomal RNA
Source: RNAcentral